This 414-nucleotide ribosomal RNA is filed under the name uncultured bacterium. Its description in RNAcentral is "bacterial SSU rRNA". It matches the Rfam family "Bacterial small subunit ribosomal RNA", at positions 29 to 439 of the family's 1533-position model. The record is from RNAcentral.
AUUGAACGCUGGCGGCAUGCCUAACACAUGCAAGUCGAACGGCAGCACAGCAGUAGCAAUACUGUGGGUGGCGAGUGGCGGACGGGUGAGGAAUACGUCGGAAUCUGCCCAGUCGUGGGGAUAACUAGCCGAAAGGUUAGCUAAUACCGCAUACGACCGAGAGGUGAAAGCGGGGGACCGCAAGGCCUCGCGCGAUUGGAUGAGCCGACGUCGGAUUAGCUAGUUGGCGGGGUAAAGGCCCACCAAGGCGACGAUCCGUAGCUGGUCUGAGAGGAUGAUCAGCCACACUGGAACUGAGACACGGUCCAGACUCCUACGGGAGGCAGCAGUGGGGAAUAUUGGGACAAUGGGCGCAAGCCUGAUCCAGCAAUGCCGCGUGUGUGAAGAAGGCCUUCGGUUGUAAGCGACUUUAUC